AGUGAACGCUGGCGGUAGGCCUAACACAUGCCAGUCGAACGGCAGCACAGUAAGAGCUUGCUCUUACGGGUGGCGAGUGGCGGACGGGUGCGGAAUACCUCGGAAUCUACUUUUUCGUGGGGGAUAACGUAGGGAAACUUACGCUAAUACCGCAUACGACCUACGGGUGAAAGCAGGGGAUCUUCGGACCUUGCGCGAUUGAAUGAGCCGAUGUCGGAUUAGCUAGUUGGCGGGGUAAAGGCCCACCAAGGCGACGAUCCGUAGCUGGUCUGAGAGGAUGAUCAGCCACACUGGAACUGAGACACGGUCCAGACUCCUACGGGAGGCAGCAGUGGGGAAUAUUGGACAAUGGGCGCAAGCCUGAUCCAGCCAUACCGCGUGGGUGAAGAAGGCCUUCGGGUUGUAAAGCCCUUUUGUUGGGAAAGAAAAGCAGCAGGUUAAUACCCCGCUGUUCUGACGGUACCCAAAGAAUAAGCACCGGCUAACUUCGUG
This 492-nucleotide ribosomal RNA is filed under the name uncultured bacterium. RNAcentral describes it as "partial 16S ribosomal RNA". It matches the Rfam family "Bacterial small subunit ribosomal RNA", at positions 29 to 507 of the family's 1533-position model. The record is from RNAcentral.